Molecule: long non-coding RNA, 213 nt
Organism: Thalassophryne amazonica
Lineage: Eukaryota; Metazoa; Chordata; Actinopteri; Batrachoidiformes; Batrachoididae
Exons: 3
Source: RefSeq, a predicted model, not a curated record
UUUUACAUGGAAAAUUCAGACCAAACCAAACAUGACGCAGCAAUUUUGUUUCAAGACAACGGUGGAAGACGGCUCCUGCUUAUCUGGCAACAUGCUGCACCGCGAUAUGAAACGCUAUUUGCAUAACAAGUCCUACAGCGUCAUAGGUACAGCAAGACUGCGAGGAGAAAAAAAAAACACGCUCGAAUCUAGAGACAUUUAAACCCUUUUAAG